AUCCCAGCUAAGUUGAUGAGGUACUUAUCAGAUUUACGGGAGGCCUUUAGGCCCUUUACGAAAGUUGCAAGUUUCGAUGAUAAUGCCUUCUUCUUUUCUUUGAUCACAGAAGGUGUUUUAUUAGUAACUUGGCUUACAUUU
Molecule: small nucleolar RNA, 141 nt
Organism: Raphanus sativus (radish)
Lineage: Eukaryota; Viridiplantae; Streptophyta; Magnoliopsida; Brassicales; Brassicaceae
Source: RefSeq, a predicted model, not a curated record